AUUGGGUUUAAAGGGUGCGUAGGCGGUUUGAUAAGUUAGAGGUGAAAUGUUAGGGCUUAACCCUGAAACUGCCUCUAAUACUGUUGAGCUAGAGAGUAGUUGCGGUAGGCGGAAUGUAUGGUGUAGCGGUGAAAUGCUUAGAGAUCAUACAGAACACCGAUUGCGAAGGCAGCUUACCAAACUAUAUCUGACGUUGAGGCACGAAAGCGUGGGGAGCAAACAGGAUUAGAUACCCUGGUAGUCCACGCAGUAAACGAUGAUAACUCGCUGUCGGCGAUACACAGUCGGUGGCUAAGCGAAAGCGAUAAGUUAUCCACCUGGGGAGUACGUUCGCAAGAAUGAAACUCAAAGGAAUUGACGGGGGCCCGCACAAGCGGAGGAACAUGUGGUUUAAUUCGAUGAUACGCGAGGAACCUUACCCGGGCUUGAAAGUUAGUGACGAUUCUGGAAACAGGAUUUCCCUUCGGGGCACGAAACUAGGUGCUGCAUGGUUGUCGUCAGCUCGUGCCGUGAGGUGUCGGGUUAAGUCCCAUAACGAGCGCAACCCCUACCGUUAGUUGCCAUCAGGUCAAGCUGGGCACUCUGGCGGGACUGCCGGUGUAAGCCGAGAGGAAGGUGGGGAUGACGUCAAAUCAGCACGGCCCUUACGUCCGGGGCUACACACGUGUUACAAUGGUAGGUACAGAGGGCAGCUACCCUGCGAAGGGAUGCGAAUCUCGAAAGCCUAUCUCAGUUCGGAUUGGAGGCUGAAACCCGCCUCCAUGAAGUUGGAUUCGCUAGUAAUCGCGCAUCAGCCA
This 797-nucleotide ribosomal RNA is filed under the name human gut metagenome. Its description in RNAcentral is "bacterial SSU rRNA". It matches the Rfam family "Bacterial small subunit ribosomal RNA", at positions 553 to 1354 of the family's 1533-position model. The record is from RNAcentral.